RNAcentral lists this small RNA (462 nucleotides) under Pongo abelii (Sumatran orangutan). RNAcentral's name for it is "processed transcript". Lineage: Eukaryota; Metazoa; Chordata; Mammalia; Primates; Hominidae. The record is from RNAcentral.
CCCCCAACCCGGUGAGGAACCUGAGAGUGGAGGCUCAGACCAACAGCUCCAUCGCCCUGAGCUGGGAGGUCCCCGAUGGCCCAGACCCACAGAACUCCACCUACUGGGUUCAGUGCGCUGGAGACGGUGGCAGAACAGAGACUCGAACCACAAGAGACACCAACGUCACCGUGGAUGGACUUGGACCCGGGUCAUUGUAUACGUUUUCUGUGUGGGUGGAGAAAGAUGGAGUAAAUAGCUCUGUGGAGACUGUCACGAGUGCCACAGCUCCCAACCCAGUGAGGAACCUGAGAGUGGAGGCUCAGACCAACAGCUCCAUCGCCCUGAGCUGGGAGGUCCCCGAUGGCCCAGACCCACAGAACUCCACCUACUGGGUUCAGUGCGCUGGAGACGGUGGCAGAACAGAGACUCGAACCACAAGAGACACCAACGUCACCGUGGAUGGACUUGGACCCGGGUCAU